AUCAGCCUUUCGUGUGCGAUUCUGUGGAGUUUGAGGAGCUUAACACCUUCAUGCUUUGCAUAUUCGUGCUCUUGGGUGUACUUGCCCGUGUGGUUGGUUAACAUCAAUUUCGGGCACCAUAAAAUGGCUGGAGGAAUGUAGCUUUGAUCUUGUAUUGAAGUGUUAUAGCCUUCGGUAGAUGUGGUGAUCGAGAUUGAGGGUUGCAACGGAUACCUUUCGGGGCUACCUGUCUGAUCUCUGAUCGUUGCUUUGGUGCUGAAAGCGUGCUUAUAGUUAUCAAAGUCGAUGGUCAAUAGGUUAGAAUGGGUUAAAUUCGUUAAGGAUGUUGACGUAAUGGCUUU
RNAcentral lists this ribosomal RNA (341 nucleotides) under uncultured Glomeromycotina. RNAcentral describes it as "eukaryotic LSU rRNA". Lineage: Eukaryota; Fungi; Glomeromycota. The record is from RNAcentral.